AUUGAUUUUAUGCUUGCAUAAAUGAUUUUUGGAUUCGGAGCGAGUGGCGAACUGGUGAGUAACACGUGGGUAACCUGCCCCGAAGCGGGGGACAACAUUUGGAAACAAGUGCUAAUACCGCAUAAUUAGUUGGAACCGCAUGGUUCCAACUUGAAAGAUGGCUCUGCUAUCACUUUGGGAUGGACCCGCGCCGUAUUAGUUAGUUGGUGAGAUAAAAGCCCACCAAGACGAUGAUACGUAGCCGACCUGAGAGGGUAAUCGGCCACAUUGGGACUGAGACACGGCCCAGACUCCUACGGGAGGCAGCAGUAGGGAAUCUUCCACAAUGGACGAAAGUCUGAUGGAGCAACGCCGCGUGAGUGAUGAAGGGUUUCGGCUCGUAAAACUCUGUUGUUAAAGAAGAACAAGUGUUAGAGUAACUGUUAACACUUUGACGGUAUUUAACCAGAAAGCCACGGCUAACUACGUGCCAGCAGCCGCGGUAAUACGUAGGUGGCAAGCGUUGUCCGGAUUUAUUGGGCGUAAAGCGAGCGCAGGCGGUUUUGGAAGUCUGCUGUGAAAGCCCUCAGCUCAACUGAGGAAGUGCAGUGGAAACUACAAAACUUGAGUACAGAAGAGGAAAGUGGAACUCCAUGUGUAGCGGUGAAAUGCGUAGAUAUAUGGAAGAACACCAGUGGCGAAGGCGGCUUUCUGGUCUGUUACUGACGCUGAGGCUCGAAAGCAUGGGUAGCGAACAGGAUUAGAUACCCUGGUAGUCCAUGCCGUGAACGAUGAAUACUAGGUGUUGGAGGGUUUCCGCCCUUCAGUGCCGCAGCUAACGCAUUAAGUAUUCCGCCUGGGGAGUACGACCGCAAGGUUGAAACUCAAAGGAAUUGACGGGGGCCCGCACAAGUGGUGGAGCAUGUGGUUUAAUUCGAUGCUACGCGAAGAACCUUACCAGCUCUUGACAUCUUCUGCCAACCCAAGAGAUUGGGCGUUCCCUUCGGGGACAGAAUGACAGGUGGUGCAUGGUUGUCGUCAGCUCGUGUCGUGAGAUGUUGGGUUAAGUCCCGCAACGAGCGCAACCCUUAUUAUUAGUUGCCAGCAUUUAGUUGGGCACUCUAGUGAGACUGCCGGUGAUAAA
Molecule: ribosomal RNA, 1123 nt
Filed under: uncultured bacterium
Lineage: Bacteria
Description: bacterial SSU rRNA
Rfam family: Bacterial small subunit ribosomal RNA
Source: RNAcentral